This 429-nucleotide ribosomal RNA is filed under the name uncultured bacterium. Its description in RNAcentral is "bacterial SSU rRNA". It matches the Rfam family "Bacterial small subunit ribosomal RNA", at positions 355 to 776 of the family's 1533-position model. The record is from RNAcentral.
UGGGGAAUUUUGCGCAAUGGACGAAAGUCUGACGCAGCAACGCCGCGUGGGUGAUGAAGGUCUUCGGAUUGUAAAACCCUGUCGUCGGGGACGAAGGUAGGGGCGUGAAUAGCGCCUUUGCUUGACGGUACCCGGAGAGGAAGCCCCGGCUAACUCUGUGCCAGCAGCCGCGGUAAUACAGAGGGGGCAAGCGUUAUUCGGAAUUAUUGGGCGUAAAGGGCGCGUAGGCGGUGAUUUAAGUUGGAUGUGUAAUCCCCGAGCUCAACUUGGGAACUGCAUCCAAGACUGGAUUGCUAGAGUGCUGGAGAGGGUGGUGGAAUUCCUCGUGUAGCGGUGAAAUGCGUAGAGAUGAGGAGGAACACCAGUGGCGAAGGCGGCCACCUGGACAGUAACUGACGCUGAGGCGCGAAAGUGUGGGGAGCAAACAGG